CUUUUAAAAAAAAAAAAGAAAACAAAAAAAAAACCUGAGGAGGAGAGCAAACGAAAAUGAGACGUUUGGCUCGGCCAUCAAGAAACGUGUUAUGGAUUUCGGUGCCGUUCUUUGCCGCGUGCGCUUCCUUCUCUGCUUUGCUAAUCUCUUCAUCCAUCUUACUUAUUUCCACUUUCAUAUAUAUCAUCCAAACUCAGACUUUUGAUUCCUUCUGCCUUUUGGGCUGACCGUAACUCUCGUGCCCACCCUCCCUGGAGUCCGUUUCAGCUAUGCAUUUAUGGUGUAAGAUGAGGAGGAUUUGGCGCUCUGUCUCAGCAAGGUUCAAACCCCAUAAACCUACUGCUGCAGGAGGUGGCAAAGGUGGCGCGAUUAGCAGUAAUGCAAGUGGUUUAUCAAAGCUUCAAGACGAUGUAAACAUGUGUGGAUAUAAAGAUGUGCAGGUGAUGUGGAACCUAUUGAAUACCUCGUAAAUCAAACCAACAGGGGCAGGAACAACAACUACAGUCUCUCAUUAGUCUCGCAAAUGCGGCAAGCAAAGGCCAUCUCGGAUGGCUCUCUUAUGGCCUAACCAUGGAGCUACUGCCUCAUCUUCAUCUUCACUUUGUUGGGUUAAAUCCAGAAAAAUAGUAUAUUAGCUAUAGAUACUUAGUUUUUUUUUUUUAAUUUUGGUAGCCUUAGAGUGAGAGUAGAGCAAUUUGUAUACGAGUAUAUGUUUGUUUGUAUUCACAGAAUCACAGUUGUUUAUACAGCCAUAGAAAUGCCAAUACCUAUCUUCCCCUGUU
This is an RNA transcript of Theobroma cacao (cacao), 782 nucleotides long. RefSeq lists it as uncharacterized. NCBI's taxonomy places the organism in Eukaryota, Viridiplantae, Streptophyta, Magnoliopsida, Malvales, Malvaceae. The record is from RefSeq and is a predicted model, not a curated record.